Nematostella vectensis (starlet sea anemone) is the source of this 987-nucleotide long non-coding RNA. RefSeq lists it as uncharacterized. The transcript is spliced from 2 exons. Lineage: Eukaryota; Metazoa; Cnidaria; Anthozoa; Actiniaria; Edwardsiidae. The record is from RefSeq and is a predicted model, not a curated record.
UUGAUUGACAUCUGUUGACAUCGAAGCAAAAGCCUCACGUGUGCAUCGCGCUGAAAUCAUUAGCUUUCAUCUGCAUAACAAAGACCGACCGGAAAAACCCACGUGAACGGCUCUGAAGUCUAUUCUAAGUGAUACUCGUGUCUUCGCCGUUACUGUAACCGACACUCGAAACUGAGCAAGGCUCAUUCACUUUUGGUAUAAAAGCAAAGCGAGAAUUUGGCUAUUAUUUUACAGCAACUAAUUACAAGACAACAAAAGGAAGAGUAGCAACAAGUGAAAGAUGUUUUGAAAGAGCAGGUAAACACUGGAACAGACCGUCGCGUGAAUAUGAGAACGGCAAUCGUACCGAAGAGCGCCGAGGCCGUAAGAAAUACCAAACGAUCCGCAGAAUGCCAGAAACUCUAUAAUUGCCAAGGCGAUGGAGCAGAUUGAAUAGGAGCCAGAGCGCAAUGAAAAGUGAGCGAAAGUGAUUACUAUGGACUAUACACUAUGUCAUCAGGAAACUGUGGGGAGAUGGAUAUGGAGGAUGGAGAGAGCCGGGUGUUUUUGAUGGUGAAGCCCCUGGGAAAGAAAAGAUUUGAGGAGAGUGAAACAAGAGUUGAACAGGAGGCAUGUGGCGGGCCUGACUAGAAGGGCCCAGCAGAAGUGUCUGCGCAGGGUAAGAAGCUUUAAGUUUUCAAACCGCCCUUGUCCCUCAUGCCCAGUCAGGUGGGAAGUCCUGAGGAAAAGGGAGACAUCCCUACCUCCCCUCUCACCCCUUCCUUGGCAGCGCCUGCCACCAUUGGAAAAAAACGCCCAGAACAUCACAAAGGUCAUCAUGAGCACUAACUUAGUUGAGACUUUUACAGUAUUAGUACAGUAAUUGUUAAUUUUUACAGUUGGUCUUAUCAGAUUGAGCGUUAUAUUAUAUAUUUAUAGUGUAUUUUAAUUUCCAUUUUGUUUCAGUUGCUUUUAGCAGAUUGAUUGCAAUAUAUAUUUAUAGAAAAA